GACGAACGCUGGCGGCGUGCUUAACACAUGCAAGUCGAGCGGUAAGGCCCUUUCGGGGUACACGAGCGGCGAACGGGUGAGUAACACGUGGGUGACCUGCCCUCAGCUCUGGGAUAAGCCUGGGAAACCGGGUCUAAUACUGGAUAUGACUCCAUGACGCAUGUUGUGGGGUGGAAAGCCUUGUGCGGCUGAGGAUGGGCCCGCGGCCUAUCAGCUUGUUGGUGGGGUGANGGCCUACCAAGGCGACGACGGGUAGCCGGCCUGAGAGGGCGACCGGCCACACUGGGGCUGAGACACGGCCCAGACUCCUACGGGAGGCAGCAGUGGGGAAUCUUGCGCAAUGGGCGAAAGCCUGACGCAGCGACGCCGCGUGAGGGAUGACGGCCU
This 387-nucleotide ribosomal RNA is filed under the name uncultured bacterium. RNAcentral describes it as "bacterial SSU rRNA". It matches the Rfam family "Bacterial small subunit ribosomal RNA", at positions 28 to 417 of the family's 1533-position model. The record is from RNAcentral.